GCAUUUUGUUCCCAACAUCACCUUUGGUCACCCCGUGGUAGAAAGCCUCCGAAAGCAGCUAGGCCAGGACCCUUUCUUUGACAUGCACAUGAUGGUGUCGAGGCCCGAACAGUGGGUAAAGCCAAUGGCGGUAGCAGGAGCUAAUCAGUAUACCUUUCAUCUCGAGGCUACUGAGAACCCAGGGGCUUUGAUUAAAGACAUUCGGGAGAAUGGGAUGAAGGUUGGUCUUGCCAUCAAACCAGGAACUACAGUUGAGUAUUUGGCACCGUGGGCUAAUCAAAUAGAUAUGGCCUUGGUUAUGACAGUGGAACCUGGGUUUGGAGGGCAGAAAUUCAUGGAAGAUAUGAUGCCAAAGGUUCACUGGUUGCGGACCCAGUUCCCAUCUUUGGACAUAGAGGUCGAUGGUGGAGUAGGUCCUGACACUAUCCAUAAAUGUGCAGAGGCAGGAGCUAACAUGAUUGUGUCUGGCAGUGCCAUUAUGAGGAGUGAAGACCCCAGAUCUGUGAUCAACCUGUUAAGAAAUGUUUGCUCAGAAGCUGCUCAGAAACGUUCUCUUGACCGAUGAAAGCACAAGGAGUCCAGUGUCUCUGCUCAUGAAAUGCUUUUACUGGAGAACAAGGAUAUUGACUACCAACUCAUAUCACAACAGUGCUGCUUUUCUGAGCAAUUCAUUCCAGUGACUAACAUCUGUUGUGCAGAAUGUCCCAAGAGUACCAUGUGUAUAGAAAAAAGAAGACCUGUCAUUUGCUGCACAGGCUUCUGUGUCCUCAUCCUUCAGCGGAAAAGCCCGUCGUUCCCACCACAAAGACUGAAAGAGAAAACAUGCUCAAGUGUACGUCCUCAAUCCACAAGCAAAAAUGAAGUAUAAACAGUUUCUGCUAUCGGUGGCAAGAGACUGGAUAACGGAUGACAAUAAUGAAGGCUCUCCAGAACCAGAGACGAAUUCUAUCCAGCCCUUCCCCUGGGGGUGCAAGGAGAGCACCUCGUAAAGAUCCACCUAAAAGGCUGUCAGGUGAUAUGAAGCAGCAUGAACCUACGUGUAUUCCAGCGAGUGGAAAGAAAAAAUUUCCUACGAGAGCCUGCAGAGUUUGUGCCGCCCAUGGAAAAAGGAGCAAAUCUAGAUACUUAUGUAA
Myotis myotis is the source of this 1133-nucleotide RNA transcript. It is a transcript of the gene named ribulose-5-phosphate-3-epimerase, with no coding region annotated. Lineage: Eukaryota; Metazoa; Chordata; Mammalia; Chiroptera; Vespertilionidae. The record is from RefSeq and is a predicted model, not a curated record. The transcript is spliced from 8 exons.